GGGGGCGUCACGGUUUCGACGGGGAUAACUGAAGCUGUAGUGGCAUACCGAGGUUCCUAUCGGCCUCGUUAAACAGGUAGGAAAAACGUAAACGCAGAUAAUUACGAUUACGCUUUAGCCGCUUAAGACGGCUAACGUUCUCCUGAUUUCUCCUAUCGGAUCAGAUGAGGGCGUCAUUUAGGUAGGAUAACCGAUCUCAUCUUCCUGGGGUGAGAAAGGCGAAAACUAAACAGGAUAGUACCUGAGAAAUCCUGCCUCUGGGAGAUUUCAGGUGCGAAUUUAAAACAGAGGAUAUGUAUGUAGAAGCUGCAGUGGAAUAUUUUCGGACGCGGGUUCGACUCCCGCCGCCUCCACCA
RNAcentral lists this transfer-messenger RNA (356 nucleotides) under Syntrophales bacterium. It matches the Rfam family "transfer-messenger RNA". From Rfam's summary of the family: Bacterial tmRNA, also known as 10Sa RNA or SsrA, is named for its dual tRNA and mRNA-like properties. Its role is to liberate the mRNA from a stalled ribosome. Lineage: Bacteria; Pseudomonadati; Thermodesulfobacteriota; Syntrophia; Syntrophales. The record is from RNAcentral.